Ixodes scapularis (black-legged tick) is the source of this 73-nucleotide non-coding RNA. NCBI's taxonomy places the organism in Eukaryota, Metazoa, Arthropoda, Arachnida, Ixodida, Ixodidae. The record is from Rfam.
CCCUGGUUAGCUUAGUUGGUAGAGCGCUCCACCUGUAAUGGAGAGGUCCCGGGUUCGAUACCCGGACCAGGCG